This 366-nucleotide small RNA is filed under the name Bacillus sp. FJAT-27916. RNAcentral's name for it is "cspA thermoregulator". It matches the Rfam family "cspA thermoregulator", at positions 85 to 428 of the family's 428-position model. The record is from Rfam by way of RNAcentral. Lineage: Bacteria; Bacillati; Bacillota; Bacilli; Caryophanales; Bacillaceae.
UGUUAUUCUUAAGAAGAAUUAUUUUUGUUCGGUUUCAGAUUGAGAAGCGAUUUUGAUUUUCGUCUAAGGUUUUGAGCAAGGAUAGUAAUACAUUGUGUGGAAACACACUAGGAGGCAACAACUAUGGAACAAGGUAAAGUAAAAUGGUUUAACGCAGAAAAAGGCUUUGGAUUUAUCGAACGUGAAGGCGGAGAAGACGUAUUCGUACAUUUCUCAGCAAUCCAAGGCGAAGGUUUCAAAUCUUUAGACGAAGGUCAAAGUGUAACUUUUGACGUAGAACAAGGCCAACGCGGCCCACAAGCUACAAACGUUCAAAAAGCUUAAUAACAGCUAAGAAAAGACCCUGCCGGUGCAGGGUCUUUUUUU